GACGAACGCUGGCGGCGUGCUUAACACAUGCAAGUCGAACGGAAACGCCCUGCUCUUGUGGGGUGCUCGAGUGGCGAACGAGUGAGUAACAUGUGAGUAACCUGCCCUUGACUUUGGGAUAACUUCAGGAAACUGGGGCUACUACCGGAUAGGAGCUCCUGCAGCCUGGUGGGCGUUGGAAAGUUUCGGCGGUUGGGGAUGGACGCGCGGCUUAUCAGCUUGUUGGUGGGGUAGUGGCUUACCAAGGCUUUGACGGGUAGCCGGCCUGAGCGGGUGACCGGCCACAUUGGGACUGAGAUACGGCCCAGACUCCUACGGGAGGCAGCGGUGGGGAAUAUUGCACAGUGGGCGGAAGCCAGAUGCGACAACGCCGCGUGCGGGAUGACGGCCUGCGGGUUGUAAACCGCUUUCGCCUGUGACGAAGCGUGAGUGACGGUAAUGGGUAAAGAAGCACGGGCUAACUACGUG
Molecule: ribosomal RNA, 468 nt
Filed under: uncultured bacterium
Lineage: Bacteria
Description: partial 16S ribosomal RNA
Rfam family: Bacterial small subunit ribosomal RNA
Source: RNAcentral